UGGGGCAUAGCCAAGCGGUAAGGCAACAGACUUUGACUCUGUCAUCCCGUGGGUUCAAAUCCCGCUGCCCCAACCA
Molecule: transfer RNA, 76 nt
Filed under: Ruminococcus flavefaciens
Lineage: Bacteria; Bacillati; Bacillota; Clostridia; Eubacteriales; Oscillospiraceae
Also listed under: 1 other name
Description: tRNA-Gln
Rfam family: tRNA
About the family: Transfer RNA (tRNA) molecules are approximately 80 nucleotides in length. Their secondary structure includes four short double-helical elements and three loops (D, anti-codon, and T loops).
Source: RNAcentral